Physeter macrocephalus (sperm whale) is the source of this 248-nucleotide long non-coding RNA. RefSeq lists it as uncharacterized. The transcript is spliced from 3 exons. NCBI's taxonomy places the organism in Eukaryota, Metazoa, Chordata, Mammalia, Artiodactyla, Physeteridae. The record is from RefSeq and is a predicted model, not a curated record.
UGAAGUCCAGCAAGGUGCAGCAGCUUUGGGAAGGGCUGUGGGGAGCCAUCACUGAAGUCUUGAUCUCUCCAGGUUUCCAGAAUCGGAUGAGAGCCCUGGUGGUGACCCCCAUCACGAUGGUGAUCCUGUUCACUGUCCUGUUGGUAUCUACCUGUAUCAGAAAGAUGGCCAAGAAGCAGGAGACUAAGGCCCUGCACCCUAAGGCUGAAAGGCAGGAUCCUGUGGAGACGAUUGAUCCAGAGGAUUUU